CCCUUAGAUGUUCUGGGCCGCACGCGCGCUACACUGACGAAGUCAGCGAGCAUGUCCUACGCCGACAGGCGCGGGGAAUCUUGUCAAACUUCGUCGUGAUGGGGAUUGAUUUUUGAAAUUCUUGAUCAUAAACGAGGAAUUCCUAGUAAGCGCAAGUCAGCAGCUUGCGUUGAUUACGUCCCUGCCCUUUGUACACACCGCCCGUCGCUACUACCGAUUGAAUGGUUUAGUGAGAUCUUCGGAUUGGCGCCACUGCAGCUCAGCAAUGGGCUUGGUGGAUGCCGAAAAGUUGAUCAAACUUGAUCAUUUAGAGGAAGUAAAAGUCGUAACA
This 331-nucleotide ribosomal RNA is filed under the name uncultured eukaryote. RNAcentral describes it as "partial 18S ribosomal RNA". It matches the Rfam family "Eukaryotic small subunit ribosomal RNA", at positions 1470 to 1796 of the family's 1831-position model. The record is from RNAcentral.